ACCCCUCAAGCGUAGCUUGGUAUUGGACGUUCGCGGGCCCUCUUUGGGGGGCCUGCGCGUCCCAAAAGCAGUGGCGGUCCCCGGGGAUUUCGCGCGUAGUAAAUAUUAUCCCGCGUUGGAAAGAACCGAUGGGCCUUGCCAAAACACCAUAAAUCUCCAUGAUUGACCUCGGAUCAGGUAGGGAUACCCGCUGAACUUAA
This 200-nucleotide unclassified non-coding RNA is filed under the name soil metagenome. Its description in RNAcentral is "partial contains internal transcribed spacer 2 and large subunit ribosomal RNA". The record is from RNAcentral.